ACCCAUUCCGCGAGAACCGGACGGACCGC
Molecule: small RNA, 29 nt
Filed under: Bombyx mori (domestic silkworm)
Lineage: Eukaryota; Metazoa; Arthropoda; Insecta; Lepidoptera; Bombycidae
Description: ovarian small RNA-11269
Source: RNAcentral